GAGGCUGCUUCCAAUCGACCAUCGGCGCAUAGCACAAAAGGAAAAACAGCUGUAGAACAACUAUGUUCGCACAUUUUAAAAACUAUGUUCGCACAUUUUAAAAAACAUCAACUAAUAUAUCAGCUAUGCCCUAAUCUAAUUUAAGAAUACUCGACGAGGUCAUUAGGUUGAUUCCCGCAGAAAAUAGUGAAAAUAGUUAACUAAAAAUAAGAAACGUACAUACAAUCGCAGGCAAUAAAAUUGUGCAGUAACUACCAUAACUAACAGCCACAUGAGGGCACACGCUAACACACAAAUCGUCUAUGAGAAAACCUACUGACGUGCGAAGGACUCUAGUAGCCCCUAACCUACAACCCUGAUUCUGGACCUCCAGACGCUCCUAUCAAGGGUCAUGUCCUCGGAAACUUGCAUUCUAAUCAUGUCCUGCCUAAUCGCCCAAUACUUCUUAGGCCUCCCUCUACCUCGCCGACCGCCAACAAUCUCCAGCCUCUCGCAGCUCCUUACCGGGGCAUCCGGGCCCCUCCUCCGAACGUGUUCGAACCACCUCAGUCUCGCUUCUCGCAUCUUCUCAUCCACUGGGGCCACCCCUACCUUCUCUCUGAUAACUCCGUUCUUAAUCCUAUCUAGUCUGGCGUGCCCGCAUAUCCACCUAAGCAUCCUCAUCUCCGCAACCUUCAUUCUUUGAACAU
RNAcentral lists this long non-coding RNA (689 nucleotides) under Nicotiana benthamiana. RNAcentral's name for it is "long non-coding RNA (NBEN_LNC013836)". Lineage: Eukaryota; Viridiplantae; Streptophyta; Magnoliopsida; Solanales; Solanaceae. The record is from RNAcentral.